RNAcentral lists this transfer RNA (68 nucleotides) under Sapajus apella (tufted capuchin). Its description in RNAcentral is "tRNA-Ala". It matches the Rfam family "tRNA". Rfam says of the family: Transfer RNA (tRNA) molecules are approximately 80 nucleotides in length. Their secondary structure includes four short double-helical elements and three loops (D, anti-codon, and T loops). The record is from RNAcentral. RNAcentral also lists the same sequence under 4 other names. Lineage: Eukaryota; Metazoa; Chordata; Mammalia; Primates; Cebidae.
GAGGGCUUAGCUUAAUUAAAGUAAUUGAUUUGCGUUCAGUUGAUGCAAAAUAAAGUUUGCAGUCCUUA